GUGGGGAAUUUUUCGCAAUGGGCGAAAGCCUGACGAAGCAACGCCGCGUGGAGGAUGAAGGCCUUCGGGUCGUAAACUCCUGUCGACCGGGACGAAAGUAGGAUGGCCUAAUACGCCGAUCUAUUGACUGUACCGGUGGAGGAAGCCACGGCUAACUCUGUGCCAGCAGCCGCGGUAAUACAGAGGUGGCAAGCGUUGUUCGGAAUUACUGGGCGUAAAGGGCGCGUAGGCGGCUUGGUCAGUCCCGUGUGAAAUCCCUCGGCUCAACUGAGGAACUGCACGGGAAACUGCCUGGCUUGAGUUCGGGAGAGGGAAGCGGAAUUCCGGGUGUAGCGGUGAAAUGCGUAGAUAUCCGGAGGAACACCGGUGGCGAAGGCGGCUUCCUGGACCGACACUGACGCUGAGGCGCGAAAGCUAGGGGAGCAAACGGGAUUAGAAACCCGAGUAGUCC
Molecule: ribosomal RNA, 451 nt
Filed under: uncultured bacterium
Lineage: Bacteria
Description: bacterial SSU rRNA
Rfam family: Bacterial small subunit ribosomal RNA
Source: RNAcentral